Long non-coding RNA from Clupea harengus (Atlantic herring), 1081 nucleotides. The record is from Ensembl. Lineage: Eukaryota; Metazoa; Chordata; Actinopteri; Clupeiformes; Clupeidae.
GUUGAUCCUAUGCAGGCCUGUAUUUUAGGUUCCAAGGAAAAAGGGAGCCCUGCAUGCCCAUGGGGAGUUUGUUGGGUGUUGCUCGUGAGAUCUCCUGCAAGGAACUCUUGGACGUGGGGGUGGGGAGUUUGUUGGGUGUUGCUCGUGAGAUCUCCUGCAAGGAACUCUUGGACGUGGGGGUGGGGAGUUUGUUGGGUGUUGCUCGUGAGAUCUCCUGCAAGGAACUCCUGGGCGGAGCUGUGGCCCGGAGCAGACUGUCAGACGCUAUCUGUCCCAGACAUCGCCAUCUGCCAGCCAACACCCUCCUGAAACUGUCAAGGCAUGGGACCUACAUGGGACGGAAGGAAGGAGGAAAGAAAGAAAGAAAGAAAGAAAGAAAGAAAGAAAGAAAGAGAGAAAGACAAAGGUGGACACAAAAUGGUGCAUCUGUGCAAUGGUGCCCCACCACCCCACCCCCAUCCCCAAUACGUCUGAUGUGUCUAUGGGAGGAUUCUCUCAGCUGACCUGACUGUAUUUUCUACGGGGGGCAAAAAAUAGUGUCGCUGGUAUUCACAAGGUUGAGUAACACUAGGAGUCAUCUGUCAUCCUGCCCGUUACUAAACAAUACAAGAGAGAGGACAACCACGAGGACAGAGAAAGCGUGAGGGACACAUUCCUAAACUGAUAUGCCACCGUAGACAUGAAAGUAUGACCAGCAGACACUUCUGGAUAUCGGAUUUGCACUUGGAAAGGACUAUUCCACUGAAAUGAAUGAUCUGAAUGCAGGUAUUAAAUUCAAACCGGACAUCAGGAACUGCUGUGUAUUGGCAUUUGUUGAGACGUGGCUCGUCCCGGAGAUCUCCGAUACGGCAGUUACACCGUCGGGAUUCAGCGCACACCGCCAGGAUAGGACAGCUGAUUCAGGCAAGCGCAGGGGUGAAGGGGUCUGUGUUAUGGUUAACUUUCUUUGGGCUACGGACAUAGCAGUACUAGCAUCUCACUGCUCUCCGGUCCUUGAGCUGCUAACUGUAAAAAUCAGACCCUUCUAUCUACAGUGGGAGUUUACUGCAGUCGUUAUGAGUGUAGUGUACAUCCCCCCAAG